UGAGGAAUAUUGGACAAUGGGCGAGAGCCUGAUCCAGCCAUGCCGCGUGCAGGAAGACAGCCCUCUGGGUUGUAAACUGCUUUUAUACGAGAAGAACCACGGCUACGAGUAGCCGUCUGACGGUAUCGUAUGAAUAAGGACCGGCUAACUCCGUGCCAGCAGCCGCGGUAAUACGGAGGGUCCAAGCGUUAUCCGGAAUUAUUGGGUUUAAAGGGUCCGUAGGCUGGCCAUUAAGUCAGAGGUGAAAAGCUAUGGCUCAACCAUAGUCUUGCCUUUGAUACUGAUAGUCUCGAGUCAUUUUGAAGUUGCCGGAAUAUGAGGUGUAGCGGUGAAAUGCAUAGAUAUCUCAU
This 350-nucleotide ribosomal RNA is filed under the name uncultured bacterium. RNAcentral's name for it is "bacterial SSU rRNA". It matches the Rfam family "Bacterial small subunit ribosomal RNA", at positions 355 to 702 of the family's 1533-position model. The record is from RNAcentral.